Molecule: non-coding RNA, 30 nt
Filed under: Rattus norvegicus (Norway rat)
Lineage: Eukaryota; Metazoa; Chordata; Mammalia; Rodentia; Muridae
Source: RNAcentral
UGCAAGAAUGAAUGAGUUAUCAGGUAAUUG